This 232-nucleotide ribosomal RNA is filed under the name uncultured bacterium. RNAcentral describes it as "partial 16S ribosomal RNA". It matches the Rfam family "Bacterial small subunit ribosomal RNA", at positions 99 to 334 of the family's 1533-position model. The record is from RNAcentral.
CGGACGGGUGAGUAAUGUCUGGGAAACUGCCUGAUGGAGGGGGGUAACUACUGGAAACGGUAGCUAAUACCGCAUAACGUCGCAAGACCAAAGAGGGGGACCUUAGGGCCUCUUGCCAUCGGAUGUGCCCAGAUGGGAUUAGCUAGUAGGUGGGGUAACGGCUCACCUAGGCGACGAUCCCUAGCUGGUCUGAGAGGAUGACCAGCCAUACUGGAACUGAGACACGGUCCAG